This 408-nucleotide ribosomal RNA is filed under the name uncultured bacterium. RNAcentral's name for it is "partial 16S ribosomal RNA". It matches the Rfam family "Bacterial small subunit ribosomal RNA", at positions 28 to 526 of the family's 1533-position model. The record is from RNAcentral.
GACGAACGCUGGCGGCGUGCUUAACACAUGCAAGUCGAACGGAGUGGCGAACGGGUGAGUAACACGUGGGUGACCUGCCCUGCACUUCGGGAUAAGCCUGGGAAACUGGGUCUAAUACCGGAUAGGUUGGGAGGGGCCCGGGGCCUAUCAGCUUGUGGGUGGGGGAAUGGCCUACCAAGGAGGCGACGGGUCGCCGGCCUGAGAGGGUGGACGGCCACAUUGGGACUGAGGCACGGCCCAGACGCCUACGGGAGGCAGCAGGGGGGAAUAUUGCACGAUGGGAGGAAGCGUGAUGCAGCGACGCCGCGUGGGGGAUGACGGCCUUCGGGUUGUAAACUCCUUUCACCAUCGACGCGGUAGAUGGAGAAGAAGCACCGGCUAACUACGUGCCAGCAGCCGCGGUAAUAC